Molecule: ribosomal RNA, 332 nt
Filed under: Anolis gingivinus
Lineage: Eukaryota; Metazoa; Chordata; Lepidosauria; Squamata; Anolidae
Description: partial 12S ribosomal RNA
Rfam family: Bacterial small subunit ribosomal RNA
Source: RNAcentral
UACGGGCGAAAAGCCUAAAACUCAAAAGACUUGGCGGUGCUUCACACACGACUUAGAGGAGCCUGUCCUAUAACCGAUACUCCACGAUAAACCUAACCACCCCUUGCCAGACUCAGCCUAUAUACCGCCGNCACCAACCUACCCCAUGAGGGUAAAAUAGUAGGUACAAAAGCCAAACACACAAACGUCAGGUCAAGGUGUAGCUUAUGGGGUGGAAGAGAUGGGCUACAUUUUUUAAAACAAAACAAUAACGACAAAAUAUCUUGAAACUGAUAUUAGAAGGUGGAUUUAAUAGUAAAAUAAGCAAGAAAGCUUAUUUUAAACCCGCUCUG